GAUUGUUUGAUCCUGGCUCAGGAUGAACGCUAGCGGCAGGCGUAACACAUGCAAGUCGAGGGGUAGAUGUCUUCGGACAUUGAGACCGGCGCACGGGUGCGUAACGCGUAUGCAAUCUACCUUUGUACAGAGGGAUAGCCCAGAGAAAUUUGGAUUAAUACCUCAUAGCAUUAUUGAAUGGCAUCAUUUAAUAAUUAAAGUUCCAACGGUACAAGAUGAGCAUGCGUCCUAUUAGCUAGUUGGUGUGGUAACGGCAUACCAAGGCUACGAUAGGUAGGGGUCCUGAGAGGGAGAUCCCCCACACUGGUACUGAGACACGGACCAGACUCCUACGGGAGGCAGCAGUGAGGAAUAUUGGACAAUGGGCGCAAGCCUGAUCCAGCCAUGCCGCGUGCAGGAAGACACAUCUAUGGUGUGUAAACUGCUUUUGUACGGGAAGAAACACUCUCUCGUGAGGGAGCUUGACGGUACCGUAAGAAUAAGGAUCGGCUAACUCCGUGCCAGCAGCCGCGGUAAUACGGAGGAUCCAAGCGUUAUCCGGAAUCAUUGGGUUUAAAGGGUCCGUAGGCGGUUUAAUAAGUCAGUGGUGAAAGCCCAUCGCUCAACGAUGGAACGGCCAUUGAUACUGUUAGACUUGAAUUAUUGUGAAGUAACUAGAAUAUGUAGUGUAGCGGUGAAAUGCUUAGAUAUUACAUGGAAUACCAAUUGCGAAGGCAGGUUACUAACAAUAUAUUGACGCUGAUGGACGAAAGCGUGGGGAGCGAACAGGAUUAGAUACCCUGGUAGUCCACGCUGUAAACGAUGGAUACUAGCUGUUGGGAGCAAUUUCAGUGGCUAAGCGAAAGUGAUAAGUUCCCAC
Molecule: ribosomal RNA, 859 nt
Filed under: uncultured bacterium
Lineage: Bacteria
Description: bacterial SSU rRNA
Rfam family: Bacterial small subunit ribosomal RNA
Source: RNAcentral